GCGUUGUCCGGAUUUAUUGGGCGUAAAGCGUCCGCAGGCGGUCAAGUAAGUUCGAGGUGACAGUGCGCGGCUUAACCGCGCAAGGUCCUUGAAAAUUGCUCGACUUGAGGGCUUGAGAGGGACCCGGAAUUCCGGGUGGAGUGGUGAAAUGCGUAGAGAUCCGGAGGAACACCAAAGGCGCAGGCAGGGUCCUGGCAAGCCACUGACGCUCAUGGACGAAAGCUAG
Molecule: ribosomal RNA, 226 nt
Filed under: uncultured bacterium
Lineage: Bacteria
Description: partial 16S ribosomal RNA
Rfam family: Bacterial small subunit ribosomal RNA
Source: RNAcentral